RNAcentral lists this ribosomal RNA (972 nucleotides) under Balamuthia mandrillaris. RNAcentral describes it as "SSU rRNA". It matches the Rfam family "Bacterial small subunit ribosomal RNA", at positions 439 to 1448 of the family's 1533-position model. Lineage: Eukaryota; Discosea; Longamoebia; Balamuthiidae. The record is from RNAcentral.
UCGGGGAUAAUAAUGACGGUACCCGAGUAAAAAGCCCUGACUAACUUCGUGCCAGCAGUCGCGGUAAAACGGAGAGGGCAAGUGUUAUUCGUAUUGACUGGGUGUAAAGGGUACGUAGGCGGUUAUUUAAGUUAUAAAAAAAAAACUAUAUCUUUUUAUAAUACUAUAUGACUAGAGUUAAAAAGGGGAUGGCGGUACCUCCAGUUUAGAAGUGACAUUCGUUUGAGAUUGGGGGGACCAACAAUAGGCGAUGGCUGCUUUCCAUUUUUAUACUGACGCUGAGGUACGAAAGCAUGGGGAGCGAACAGGAUUAGAGACCCUGGUAGUCCAUGCCCUGACCUAUGAAUAUUAAUCGUCCAUUUAGAUAGUGGAUGACUAAGCUAACGCGAAAAUAUUCCACCUGAGGACUACGGCCGCAAGGUUAAAACUCAAAGAAAUUGGCGGAAGAUCGUUUAAGCGGUGGAGUAUGUGGUUUAAUUCGAUAAUACGCGAAAAACCUUACCAAUCUUUGUGCACAUUUUCGGUUCUACAAAACUUGUAGCCCAAAUUGAGGUGGUCAAUUUGGGCUAGCUAUGUGCCAGGCGUUGCAUGGCUGUCGUAAGCUCGUGUCUUAGGAUGUGUGGUUAACUCCAUGAACGGGCGCAACCCUUGUUCCUAGUUAGAUUAGGAAUGAAAACAGUGAAAACUGCUUUUGAGGAUGAGGAGUAUGUCAAGUCAAUAUGACCUUUAUAGAUUGGGCUACACACGUACUACAACGGUAGCUACAAUGAGAAACAAUGCCGUGAGGCGGAGUAAAUCUCUAAAACCUACCCUAGUUCGGAUUAUUUUUUGAAAUAAAAAUAUGAAGCCGGAAUCGCUAGUAAUCGCAAAAAAGAAUGUUGCGGUGAAUAUUAAGACCGAUCUUAGUACACACCGCCCGUCACGCCAUGGAAGCUUGUUUGGUUUGAAGAUAUUAAGUCACAUGUUUCGAAG